GGCCGCAAGGUUAAAACUCAAAUGAAUUGACGGGGGCCCGCACAAGCGGUGGAGCAUGUGGUUUAAUUCGAUGCAACGCGAAGAACCUUACCUGGUCUUGACAUCCACAGAACUUUCCAGAGAUGGACUGGUGCCUUCGGGAACUGUGAGACAGGUGCUGCAUGGCUGUCGUCAGCUCGUGUUGUGAAAUGUUGGGUUAAGUCCCGCAACGAGCGCAACCCUUAUCCUUUGUUGCCAGCG
RNAcentral lists this ribosomal RNA (240 nucleotides) under Salmonella enterica subsp. enterica serovar Thompson. Its description in RNAcentral is "partial 16S ribosomal RNA". It matches the Rfam family "Bacterial small subunit ribosomal RNA", at positions 884 to 1123 of the family's 1533-position model. RNAcentral also lists the same sequence under 3 other names. Lineage: Bacteria; Pseudomonadati; Pseudomonadota; Gammaproteobacteria; Enterobacterales; Enterobacteriaceae. The record is from RNAcentral.